RNAcentral lists this ribosomal RNA (631 nucleotides) under uncultured fungus. RNAcentral describes it as "eukaryotic LSU rRNA". It matches the Rfam family "Eukaryotic large subunit ribosomal RNA", at positions 24 to 664 of the family's 3401-position model. Lineage: Eukaryota; Fungi. The record is from RNAcentral.
CCCGCUGAACUUAAGCAUAUCAAUAAGCGGAGGAAAAGAAACCAACAGGGAUUGCCUUAGUAACGGCGAGUGAAGCGGCAAGAGCUCAAAUUUGAAAUCUGGCUUCCUUUUUGGGGCCCGAGUUGUAAUUUGCAGAGGAUGCUUUGGGUGUGGUCGCGGUCUAAGUCCCCUGGAACGGGGCAUCAUAGAGGGUGAGAAUCCCGUCUGGGACCGCCGGCCCCGCGCGUGUAAAGCUCCUUCGACGAGUCGAGUUGUUUGGGAAUGCAGCUCUAAAUGGGUGGUAAAUUUCAUCUAAAGCUAAAUAUUGGCCGGAGACCGAUAGCACACAAGUAGAGUGAUCGAAAGAUGAAAAGCACUUUGAAAAGAGAGUUAAACAGCAUGUGAAAUUGUUGAAAGGGAAGCGCUUGCGACCAGAUUUGAUCGCGGAGGCUCAGCCGGCAUACUUUGGCGGUGCACUCCUUCGCAGUCGAGCCAGCGUCGGUUCUGAUGGUUGGUUAAAGACCUUUGGAAUGUGUCGCCUUUCGGGGCGUCUUAUAGCUGAGGGUGUAAUGCGGCCUGUCGGGACCGAGGAACGCGUCUUUUGGCACGGACGCUGGCGUAAUGGUCGUAAGCGACCCGUCUUGAAACACGG